Molecule: ribosomal RNA, 408 nt
Filed under: uncultured bacterium
Lineage: Bacteria
Description: partial 16S ribosomal RNA
Rfam family: Bacterial small subunit ribosomal RNA
Source: RNAcentral
GACGAACGCUGGCGGCGUGCUUAACACAUGCAAGUCGAACGAAGUGGCGAACGGGUGAGUAACGCGGAAUCAACCUGCCCUUCAGCGGGGGACAACAGUUGGAAACGACUGCUAAUACCGCAAACUGAGGGAGGGGAUUGCGUUGGAUGAGGUAGUGGGAGGGGUAACGGCCCACCAAGGCGGUGAUCAGUAGCCGGGCUGAGAGGGUGAACGGCCACAUUGGGACUGGGACCCGGCCCAGACUCCGACGGGAGGCAGCAGUGGGGAAUCUUCCGCAAUGGACGGAAGUCUGACGGAGCAACUCCGCGUGAGUGAUGACGGCCUUCGGGUUGUAAAGCUCUGUUAAUCGGGACGCGGUACCGGAAUAGAAAGCCACGGCUAACUACGUGCCAGCAGCCGCGGUAAUAC